AUUGAACGCUGGCGGCAUGCCUUACACAUGCAAGUCGAACGGCAGCACGGGAGCAAUCCUGGUGGCGAGUGGCGAACGGGUGAGUAAUAUAUCGGAACGUGCCCAGUCGUGGGGGAUAACGUAGCGAAAGCUACGCUAAUACCGCAUACGAUCUAUGGAUGAAAGCGGGGGAUCGCAAGACCUCGCGCGAUUGGAGCGGCCGAUAUCAGAUUAGGUAGUUGGUGAGGUAAAGGCUCGCCAAGCCGACGAUCUGUAGCUGGUCUGAGAGGACGACCAGCCACACUGGGACUGAGACACGGCCCAGACUCCUACGGGAGGCAGCAGUGGGGAAUUUUUGGACAAUGGCGCAAGCCUGAUCCAGCAAUGCCGCGUGCAGGAU
Molecule: ribosomal RNA, 379 nt
Filed under: uncultured bacterium
Lineage: Bacteria
Description: bacterial SSU rRNA
Rfam family: Bacterial small subunit ribosomal RNA
Source: RNAcentral